ACGGGAGGCAGCAGUAAGGAAUAUUGGUCAAUGGGCGCAAGCCUGAACCAGCCAUGCCGCGUGCAGGAAGACGGCCCUACGGGUUGUAAACUGCUUUUGUACCGGAAUAAACCUUUUCACGUGUGAGAAGCUGAAUGUACGGUAAGAAUAAGGAUCGGCUAACUCCGUGCCAGCAGCCGCGGAAUACGGAGGAUCCAAGCGUUAUCCGGAUUUAUUGGGUUUAAAGGGUGCGUAGGCGGUUCUUUAAGUCAGGGGUGAAAGACGGUAGCUUAACUAUCGCAGUGCCUUUGAUACUGAAGAACUUGAAUACACUUGAGGUAGGCGGAAUGUGACAAGUAGCGGUGAAAUGCAUAGAUAUGUCACAGAACACCAAUUGCGAAGGCAGCUUACUAAAGUGUCAUUGACGCUGAGGCACGAAAGCGUGGGAUCAAACAGGAUUAGAUACCCUGGUAGUCCACGCCCUAAACGAUGAAUACUCGAUGUUGGCGAUAUACGGUCAGCGUCUAAGCGAAAGCGUUAAGUAUUCCACCUGGGGAGUACGCCCGCAAGGGUGAAACUCAAAGGAAUUGACGGGGGCCCGCACAAGCGGAGGAGCAUGUGGUUUAAUUCGAUGAUACGCGAGGAACCUUACCCGGGCUUGAAAGUUAGUGAAUGAUUCAGAGACGAAUCAGUCCUUCGGGACACGAAACUAGGUGCUGCAUGGCUGUCGUCAGCUCGUGCCGUGAGGUGUUGGGUUAAGUCCCGCAACGAGCGCAACCCCUAUGUUUAGUUGCCAGCAUGUAAUGAUGGGGACUCUAAACAGACUGCCUAUGCAAAUA
This 818-nucleotide ribosomal RNA is filed under the name Mucilaginibacter rigui. RNAcentral describes it as "bacterial SSU rRNA". It matches the Rfam family "Bacterial small subunit ribosomal RNA", at positions 341 to 1164 of the family's 1533-position model. The record is from RNAcentral. Lineage: Bacteria; Pseudomonadati; Bacteroidota; Sphingobacteriia; Sphingobacteriales; Sphingobacteriaceae.